GACGAACCGUACGAACGUUAUUCGGAAUCACUGGGCUUAAAGGGUGCGUAGGCGGCGCAGUAAGUUGGGUGUGAAAUCCCUCGGCUUAACCGAGGAAUUGCGCCCAAAACUACUGUGCUCGAGGGAGGUAGAGGUGAGCGGAACUUAGGGUGGAGCGGUGAAAUGCGUUGAUAUCCUAAGGAACACCGGUGGCGAAAGCGGCUCACUGGACCUCUUCUGACGCUGAGGCGCGAAAGCUAGGGUAGCAAACGGG
Molecule: ribosomal RNA, 253 nt
Filed under: uncultured bacterium
Lineage: Bacteria
Description: partial 16S ribosomal RNA
Rfam family: Bacterial small subunit ribosomal RNA
Source: RNAcentral